ACCCUCGUAGCCCAACGCAUAAGGCAUCGGUCUGCUAAACCGGGGGUUGCCGGUUCAAAUCCCGCCGAGGGUA
This 73-nucleotide transfer RNA is filed under the name Tropilaelaps mercedesae. It matches the Rfam family "tRNA". Rfam says of the family: Transfer RNA (tRNA) molecules are approximately 80 nucleotides in length. The record is from Rfam by way of RNAcentral. Lineage: Eukaryota; Metazoa; Arthropoda; Arachnida; Mesostigmata; Laelapidae.